GUGAGGAAUAUUGCGCAAUGGAGGCAACUCUGACGCAGCCAUGCCGCGUGCAGGAAGAAGGCGCUACGCGUUGUAAACUGCUUUUAACCGGGAAGAAACCCCAGGACGUGUCCUGGGUUGACGGUACCGGAGGAAUAAGCACCGGCUAACUUCGUGCCAGCAGCCGCGGUAAUACGAAGGGUGCAAGCGUUAUCCGGAUUCAUGGGGUUUAAAGGGUGCGUAGGCGGAGCGUUAAGUCAGUGGUGAAAGCCUGCAGCUUAACUGUAGACUCGCCAUUGAUACUGGCGCUCUUGAGUGCGCUUGAAGUGGGCGGAAUGUGCCGUGUAGCGGUGAAAUGCUUAGAUAUGGCACAGAACACCAAUUGCGAAGGCAGCUCACUAAGGCGAUACUGACGCUGAGGCACGAAAGCGUGGGGAUCGAACAGGAUUAGAUACCCUUGUAGUCC
Molecule: ribosomal RNA, 445 nt
Filed under: uncultured bacterium
Lineage: Bacteria
Description: bacterial SSU rRNA
Rfam family: Bacterial small subunit ribosomal RNA
Source: RNAcentral